AACGAACGCUGGCGGCAUGCCUAACACAUGCAAGUCGAACGAGACCUUCGGGUCUAGUUUCGCACGGGUGCGUAACGCGUUGGAACCUGCCCUUAGGUUCGGAAUAACUCCCCGAAAGGGGUUCUAAUACCGGAUAAUGUCUUCGGACCAAAGAUUUAUCGCCUUUGGAUGGGCGCGCGUUGGAUUAGCUAGUUGGUAGGGUAAAUGCCUACCAAGGCGACGAUCCAUAGCUGGUCUGAGAGGAUGAUCAGCCACACUGGGACUGAGACACGGCCCAGACUCCUACGGGAGGAAGCAGUGGGGAAUAUUGGACAAUGGGCGAAAGCCUGAUCAAGCAAUGCCGCGUGAGUUAUGAAGGCCUUAGGGUUGUAAAGCUCUUUUAGCCGGGAUGAUAAUGACGGUAGCGGGAGAAGAAGCUCCGGCUAACUACGUG
RNAcentral lists this ribosomal RNA (433 nucleotides) under uncultured bacterium. RNAcentral describes it as "partial 16S ribosomal RNA". It matches the Rfam family "Bacterial small subunit ribosomal RNA", at positions 29 to 507 of the family's 1533-position model. The record is from RNAcentral.